This 253-nucleotide ribosomal RNA is filed under the name uncultured bacterium. RNAcentral's name for it is "partial 16S ribosomal RNA". It matches the Rfam family "Bacterial small subunit ribosomal RNA", at positions 524 to 776 of the family's 1533-position model. The record is from RNAcentral.
UACGUAGGGAGCAAGCGUUGUCCGGAAUCAUUGGGCGUAAAGCGCGCGUAGGCGGCCCUGUAAGUCCGCUGUGAAAGUCAAAGGCUCAACCUUUGAAAGCCGGUGGAUACUGCAGGGCUAGAGUCCGGUAGGGGAGUAUGGAAUUCCCGGUGUAGCGGUGAAAUGCGCAGAUAUCGGGAGGAACACCAGUGGCGAAGGCGGUACUCUGGGCCGGAACUGACGCUGAGGAGCGAAAGCGUGGGUAGCGAACAGG